GCCUGGCCCGCGACGCACCGAGGCCUGAGGACCCGAAAGCCGGGCGCGGGGAGAUGACCGGUGGCUCGUGACGGUCCCACGGGCAAAAUCUUCCAUCGCCCGGGGCUGAGACUUGUCAAACUGCCCUCUACGGUCACCCGGAAAGUAGGAGGCUUUUUCUGCAGAGGGGAAAAAAAUCAAAAAGAGCCGUUCCAUCCCCCCUCCAAGGACUGGGUUUGAAUUGCUUUUCAUCUGCAGUGGCUGUGAUUCAGCGUCCCUCUUAGCAGCAGGCAAUGACAGAGGCAGGAGAGGGGAAAAAAAAAAAGAAAGAAAGAAAAAACACAGCAAAUGAAUCAAACGGACGUAGCAGGCAAGAGUGUGGUUAUCGUUGGACCAGGAUUCAGGAUCUGACUGAGUAGCUGACUCUUAAUCCAGUUUGUGUUGAUCACCAGGAGGAUCUGGACCUCAGUAUUACCACAUCUAGAGCUAUAAUCACAUCCCUGUUAAGCCUUCCUGAGAUCACACCAAAUGUCCUUGAUGGGAAUUGUAAACAACCCUUACUUCUGGUUUCUAAUGAUAUUCCAGGAAAGGAGCCUAACUAGAGUCAGUGAGUAUUCAUGCACUUCAAACCCUGUGACAUAAUAAGAUUUGAUUUUUAAGAAAACAACUUGAGAGGAUGGAUUCAGAAAAGAGGCAGAUCCAAGGGAGAGUCUAAACUGGAGAGCAGUGGCAAUGAACAGGAGGAGGCCAUAUCGAGAGAUGAAUUGAUCAUCUUAUAGACCUGGAGGUCAGAAAUCUAAAAUCAAAGUGUGGGCUGUGUUCCUUCUGGAGGAUCGAGGGGAGAAUCCAUUUCCUUGCCCUUUUCAGCCUCUAGAUGCCACCUGCAUUCCUUGGCUUAUAGUCCCUUUCUCUAUGUUUAAGGCCAACUGCAUAGCAUCUUCCCCCAUUUCUUUGUAACUUCUGCUUCAUGGUGAUGGGGACAUCUCUCUCUCUGAUCGUAGGAAUUGAUUUAGAUGCUUUUCUAGCCAUAUGUAUUAUGAACUAAAUGCAGUUGAAUUACUUAUGGGAGGAAAUGGCAGGUGACCUCAUUACUUGUCAAAUCAUCGUUAGAUAACUGACUUGACUGUUAAGAUUGCUGAAGCAGUGAUUUAUUACCUCAGCUAAAUCUGUAUCAAUCUGGUGACCCGUGUAACUGAAACCAAGAUGUUAACACUGUAAGAAAACCUAGCUUAUGUUUGCAGCUCCUGAGAAUAAAUCCCUUUAUCUUGAAAUACCUGGAAAUCCCUUUUUAAUGUCCAGUGGAGUCAUAUUGCCAAGUUUGAGAAAUGUGUCUAGACCAGUAUUUCCCAAACAGCCCACCAGACAACACCAGCCUGUAAGAUGGUGAUAUUGUUUGGAUGUUUUUUCCCUCCAAAUUUCGUGUUGAAAUGUGACCGCCAUGUUGGAGUUGGACCUAGUGGAAGGUAUUUGGGUGAUGGGGAAUCUCUUGUGUGGCUAUGUACCUUCCCUGCAGUAAUGAGUUCAUGAAAGAUCUGGAUGUUUAAAAGAGUCUGUGAUCUUCCUCCUCUCUCUCUUGCUCCUGUUCUUGCCAGGUGAUAUGCCAACUCCACCUUUGCCUUCCACCAUGUUUGGAAGCUCCCUGAGGCCUCACCAGGAGCAGAUGCUCGUCCCAUGCUUCCUAUAAGCCUGCAGAACUGUGAGCCAUAAUAAACUGUGAAUUAUAAAUUGCCUUUAUAGCAAUGCAAAUGGACCAGUACAGAUGGGAUGCUGGGAAGACAGUUGUUUCCACCUUCAGUAAAGUCCGUGGAACACAGUUGUGACUAUAUUCUAGGCCAGCCAAGAUGCUUGUACUCAGAAAGGAGUGGUCUCAGGACCAUAAGAAAGUGAAAAAAUAAAAAUAAGAAAAUAAAGAAGGGAUUGUCAAUGAAUCAGAAUUCAUCAAGGUCAAAGUCUUAGGAAAUUCCUUCAUGAGGAAGUCUAGGGGGGCUAUGGAAAUGAAAUUUUUAAACAAAUAGGUAUGUGGUGCUGGCAGGAAUAAAUUAUGGACUUAUGAAUAUAACAUAAGAUUCUUUAUUACCUGGUCUCACCCGUCUUUCCACCUCUGCCCCCCUUCUUGCCCGACUCUGUGUAUCACCCAUAAUAAACUACUUACAGCUUCCUAGUGUUAAAUUUACCCUAAAGCUGCCUCCUUCAAUAUUUUAAGUUUAACCUAAAGGUUCUUCAUACAUAGUGAACUAUAACCCAAUGAUUAAACAGAUUGUAACCUACUCUUGUACCAGUCACCAAGUUUCAGCCAAUCAGAGGUGGCCAACUGUUCAAACCAUGCUCAAAUAAGGGAAAUGUCAUGGUGUAACUAAUCCAGCUGUUUCUAUACCUUACUUCUGUUUUCUUAGGUCACUUUCCUUUUUUGUCCAUAAAUUCUCUCCAACCACUCAGCAGCACUGGAGUCACUCCAAAGCUAUCCUGGUUCAGGGGUCUGUCUGAUUCACAAGUCAUUCUUUGUUCAAUUGAGCUCUGCUAAAUUUAAUUUGUCUGAAGUUUUUCUUUUAACAGAUGGUGUCAGAAAUGGACCCCAAAGUAGAGCUCCCAGUGAUCCCCCAGGAGCACUGAGUGACCACAAGGGGUACCUGCUGGGCCCGUCCUCUCGCAGUGUCCACUGCUCUCUUACAGCAACUGGAGAUUGUGGCUGCAUUCUCUCUCAGAUUCUGAAGCUCCAUACAUUGCCGUUUUCAGCUGUUCAAGCUUGCUUGAGCAAAUUUUUGAUCUUAGCUGAGUUUGGAAGUCGAUAGACAUUGGACUGGGUCCAGGAUUUGAUUGGAUCUGAUAAUUAACUGGCUUGGAUCCAGUUAGAUGCCUCGGUUAUCUGACUGGGUCAGAUAGAAACCGCCAGUAAAUAUUUUAAUAACAAUACUGCAGGGGUAUGAACUCUGGCUUUAAGAAACUCACAAGGAAUUUUAUGUUCUAUACCCUUUGUUUCUUUUUCUUGUGUGCUUCGGUCAGGAAAAA
RNAcentral lists this long non-coding RNA (2985 nucleotides) under Homo sapiens (human). RNAcentral describes it as "non-protein coding RASSF8-AS1:43". The record is from RNAcentral. Lineage: Eukaryota; Metazoa; Chordata; Mammalia; Primates; Hominidae.